CAGCAUUUAUACCAUAUGGAGAAGGAAGAUUCUUCAAAAUGAGGACAAAGAAAUUAGCCAAGAGGUUCAAUUACUUGACUUGGGAAUAGGAAGAAUUGGAGUUGACACUUUAAGUAAAAGUACUCGAGAAGAAGAGANAAGAGAUGGCAAUGAACUCUCAGGAUUUUCCUAUGAUACCGUUCAAUAUCAUAUAUGAGGCAACGAAACAUUUUUCUGAUGAAGCCAAACUUGGAGAAGGCGGGUUUGGCCCUGUUUACAAGGGCACAUUAGAAGAUGGCAA
This 280-nucleotide unclassified non-coding RNA is filed under the name Hevea brasiliensis (rubber tree). Lineage: Eukaryota; Viridiplantae; Streptophyta; Magnoliopsida; Malpighiales; Euphorbiaceae. The record is from RNAcentral.